RNAcentral lists this long non-coding RNA (802 nucleotides) under Numida meleagris (helmeted guineafowl). Its description in RNAcentral is "lncRNA (ENSNMEG00000000279.1)". The record is from RNAcentral. Lineage: Eukaryota; Metazoa; Chordata; Aves; Galliformes; Numididae.
AUGAGCGGCUGCCUCCUCCUCUCUUCAUCUCCAGUAGCGUUUCUCAGGGAGGUGGGAUGCAGUCACGCUCCGCUGGAUUCUGUGGAUGAAAUCCAAAGGAAAUCUUUGUACUGUGAUGAGCAAACCGCGCGCGCUAUCUUGCAAACGAUGUCAGACUCUUCUUUGCCAGCCUUCCCUUCCGUCUUCCCUUUCCUGUUUCUGAGAAAGGAGAGCGGUGCCUUGGGUGCAGCAGGGCAGGAGUCAGUGCAACACAAAGGUGCUGUGUCUGUCGCAGCGUUUGUCCAGGGGCCGCCAAAGGCAGGAGCACAGCACAGCACCAUUCAUUCCUGUGAGAGGACAGUGGCUGCGGUGAGUUUCAACCAUGUCUGCGCCGCAUCAUUCCCAGCAGGUGUUUCUGGACAGUGCAUAGAAGCUGUGAAAAACUAUUUAAGAAAUCUUCAUUACAAACUGAAGAAAUAUGGAAAAGGUCCAUGUCAUGGGCAGAUCAGAGGAAUGAUGGAGAAUCGUUGACAUUUGAUGUAACACAGAGAAGACUUUUGCACCUCUAAUCUGCAAAUCAGAUAUUGUCAACAUUCCCUUUAUGACCAAGGAGGCCACAAUUCAGCUGAGUAUUUAAACAGAUGUCUUUCUGUAAUGAUGUUAUUUCACAGUAAUUAGGAAUGUAUUUAAAGUUACACUAAUGUUCAAUACAUUGUCUUCUGAGGGAUUUAUUAUGUGAAUGGAAAGUCUUUACUAUAGCUUUCUUUCUUUUAAACAAAAUAUCAUCAAAUUUCACUUUCUCUAAUAGAUACUUCACUCUAAC